This 495-nucleotide ribosomal RNA is filed under the name uncultured bacterium. RNAcentral's name for it is "partial 16S ribosomal RNA". It matches the Rfam family "Bacterial small subunit ribosomal RNA", at positions 28 to 507 of the family's 1533-position model. The record is from RNAcentral.
GACGAACGCUGGCGGCGUGCCUAAUACAUGCAAGUAGAACGCUGAAGGAGGAGCUUGCUUCUCCGGAUGAGUUGCGAACGGGUGAGUAACGCGUAGGUAACCUGCCUGGUAGCGGGGGAUAACUAUUGGAAACGAUAGCUAAUACCGCAUAAGAGUAGAUGUCGCAUGACAUUUGCUUAAAAGGUGCAACUGCACCACUACCAGAUGGACCUGCGUUGUAUUAGCUAGUUGGUGAGGUAACGGCUCACCAAGGCAACGAUACAUAGCCGACCUGAGAGGGUGAUCGGCCACCCUGGGACUGAGACACGGCCCAGACUCCUACGGGAGGCAGCAGUAGGGAAUCUUCGGCAAUGGACGGAAGUCUGACCGAGCAACGCCGCGUGAGUGAAGAAGGUUUUCGGAUCGUAAAGCUCUGUUGUAAGAGAAGAACGAGUGUGAGAGUGGAAAGUUCACACUGUGACGGUAUCUUACCAGAAAGGGACGGCUAACUACGUG